Molecule: ribosomal RNA, 467 nt
Filed under: uncultured bacterium
Lineage: Bacteria
Description: partial 16S ribosomal RNA
Rfam family: Bacterial small subunit ribosomal RNA
Source: RNAcentral
AUGAACGCUGGCGGCGUGCUUAACACAUGCAAGUCGAACGGAAAGGCCCAAGCUUGCUUGGGUACUCGAGUGGCGAACGGGUGAGUAACACGUGGGUGAUCUGCCCUGCACUUCGGGAUAAGCCUGGGAAACUGGGUCUAAUACCGGAUAGGACGAUGGUUUGGAUGCCAUUGUGGAAAGUUUUUUCGGUGUGGGAUGAGCUCGCGGCCUAUCAGCUUGUUGGUGGGGUAAUGGCCUACCAAGGCGUCGACGGGUAGCCGGCCUGAGAGGGUGUACGGCCACAUUGGGACGGAGAUACGGCCCAGACUCCUACGGGAGGCAGCAGUGGGGAAUAUUGCACAAUGGGCGCAAGCCUGAUGCAGCGACGCCGCGUGGGGGAUGACGGCCUUCGGGUUGUAAACUCCUUUCGCUAGGGACGAAGCGUUUUUGUGACGGUACCUGGAGAAGAAGCACCGGCUAACUACGUG